Molecule: non-coding RNA, 117 nt
Organism: Aedes aegypti (yellow fever mosquito)
Lineage: Eukaryota; Metazoa; Arthropoda; Insecta; Diptera; Culicidae
Source: Rfam
UGCCCAGCAACUCCUAUCCCUACCUCCUCGUGGUACUGGCCGGGGUACGAGUAACCUUGGGGAAGAUCGGGUAACCUACCCCCGGUGGGAACUUUGGUCGUAUGCUGACAGGGAAGG